CUCUCCUACGAAAAGAACACGGGAACAGAAAAUGAAAUACCCGACUUCAUUAAUCUUCCCGCCGACAGAUGGCCAUCCAUCACUUACCUGGACUCUUUCCGACGAACUCUUCAAGCGCUGGAUCACCUCCGUCGCACUUUUGGCUUUCUCCGACAGCUGUUGCAACGAUUGCGUCAACUCGGCCUGAAAUAAAUCAGAUAAGCGCCAAUAGAUGGACGUCGUGAUUUUGAUGGCGGCCAGCAUCCGAUAAAACGCACAAGUGGCAAGCUCCCAAUCGACAAGUGUUGCAAUAAUAAGAUUGGACCUGAUCACCAUGUUCGCUGCAGUGUGGAACGGCAUCUGCACACGACUGCUGUUGCUGUGGGAAAAGAGCCAAAACGAAAAAGGUGGGGUGACGAUGAUGUGGCACGCUAUUUUGCUUCAUUGGAUGACGGCUGUGAGUGGAGAUAAGAGCGUGUGCUCCCGCUGCAAGUUGAAAACCAAUUAUAAAGAAAAACUUUAAGACGACGAAAGAGGGGUCUCCAAGACAACGCCGAUCCCAUAUCGUCCCGACUAUUAGAACCCCAGCAUAACCAUAACAAGAUAACGUAUACCAACCGUAAUAGAUCUAUAACAAGGCGUGACUAUUCAAACGCGGGAAUGGGUACAAUAUUUUGGAAGAUCUAUCAUUUAAAGGAGAAAGUCCUGAUCAGCCUUAUCGGCGAUCAUUUUAGCGAUCGCGAGAGAACUAGUGGCUCCAGGUGAAGGGGUAUUACGACAGUGAAUAAUAUUACGGCCGAUUUCACCCAUUCCGUAGUCGAAAACAAAGUCCUCUAUCAGACUUCCGUCAGCGCCAAGAGCUUGAGCACGGACCCCAGCUGGUCCUCUGAAAAAUGGAAAUACAAGUGAUUUGGAAAGACGCAGAAAAUGAACGUACAUAAAACAGGUAUAAAAGCCAAAAUUUACCGAGAUAUGUCAGAUGCUUGAACCUGUGGGAUGUACUUUUGCAGCUCUUUUACAGCUAAACUAACAAAGGCGGACCGAACGAUUUCUUGAACUCCGAACGAAGCAUAUUUCAAUGCUAAUUUCUGGAAACCACGAUAACUCAACGAAUCGGCAAGGUCGCCUAUACCUGUAUCCUUCACGCUUCAAAGCUAACACAGCAUUAGGCCCUAGCCAAACAGAGCCAUCUAUUCUUGGGGUAAAGUGGACACCGAGGAAUGGAAAACGAGGAUCAGAUGCUCUACCGGGUAGAUAUUUCCUUUCACUAAAUGUGUUUUUGCAGGAUUGAGCAAAAGAUAUUCGCCACGGAAAGGCACAAUACGUGGCUCUCUAGAACAGCCGGAAAGUUCUGCCAAUCGAUCCGAUUGCAGGCCACCACAGGUCAAGACGUACCGGCAGCGCACAGAUUGCUAAAAAGUAAGUUCCACCUCCGAUUUAGUAAUUAGGGCUUCACUUGACACUGAACUGAUUAACACUUUACCCCAUUGCUUGCUGUGACUUGUAUGCCUUUUUUGUUUUCCGCGAUCACCUUGACUUUACUUUCUUGGGCAACUUUGAAAUCCUUAACUUCAAAGUUGAGGUGAAUUUUACCUCCUAAUGAUUUGAAAUCCUCCCCGUAAUAUUGCGUAACUAAACCCCAGUCCACGAUUCCGGUAUGUGGCGACCAUACAGCUUUCAGACCCUAAUAUAGGAUAAACAGUGUAACACUAGCUGAACCAUAGAUGAUGAAAGAUCAUACUUUGUAUGUACCUGACAGUAGGGUUCUAUUUCUUUGAUCUUUGCUCCAUCAACCAUUUGAAUAUCUGGAACACCAUUCUGAAUUCCACGGUUAUAGAGAUCCUCCAGCCUUGGCAACUCCUCUUUUGCAACAGCUACAAUGAGCUUGCCACAUUUUUUGUAGGGAAUCCCUUUCUCAUCAAAAUACUUGUAAGAGAGGUGGAGGCCUUCAACACACAGUUUUGCCUUCAGUGAUCCAGGUUUGUAAUAAAUCCCCCCAUGUAUCACUCCACUGUUGUGCCCACUUUGGUGUGCAGCUAAAAUGAAACAGAAACAUCUAUUCAUAAAUUGAAAGUCGUUAUCCACCUUAUUUUAACACCUUGAAAUGGAUCAGAUCACACAGUUGGCUUUAUUAGAGGCAUAAACUGAAAUAAUAGGAUAUAUAAGUUACCUAAACGAUUCUCUUUUUCGAGUACAGCAAACUUUAAAUUUGGGUGCCUCAUUAUCAAUUCCCUUGCUGCCGCCAUGCCAACAAUUCCUCCACCAACAACAACAAUAUCAUAUUCAGGCUCCGUUCUUGAUUACAAAAAGAGGCAAUUAGCAUCUGAUUAUCUGUUAAAUGUUAGAGCAAAUUGCACCACCUUCCUUUACAUAAUCUUUUAAAAUAGAGAUAUUGUUACCCUUGAGAUGAAAAUUUUCUAUUUAUAGCCGACGACGAAGCUGGAAAACAAA
This is a long non-coding RNA of Daphnia carinata, 2430 nucleotides long. RefSeq lists it as uncharacterized. The transcript has 6 exons. Lineage: Eukaryota; Metazoa; Arthropoda; Branchiopoda; Diplostraca; Daphniidae. The record is from RefSeq and is a predicted model, not a curated record.